UACGGGGGGUGCAAGCGUUGUCCGGAUUUACUGGGCGUAAAGGGCGCGUAGGCGGCUUGAUCAGUCGGACUUUUAAGAGCGGGGCUCAACCCCGUGGUGGGUUCGGGACGGUCGAGCUGGGGCGCGGUCGAGGGGGAUGGAAUGCCGGGUGUAGUGGUGAAAUGCGUAGAUAUCCGGAGGAACACCAGUGGCGAAAGCGGCCACCUGGACUGCACCUGACGCUGACACGCGAAAGCUAGGGGAGCGAACGGG
RNAcentral lists this ribosomal RNA (252 nucleotides) under uncultured bacterium. RNAcentral's name for it is "partial 16S ribosomal RNA". It matches the Rfam family "Bacterial small subunit ribosomal RNA", at positions 524 to 776 of the family's 1533-position model. The record is from RNAcentral.